Molecule: ribosomal RNA, 357 nt
Filed under: uncultured bacterium
Lineage: Bacteria
Description: bacterial SSU rRNA
Rfam family: Bacterial small subunit ribosomal RNA
Source: RNAcentral
GUGAGUAGUUCAGAGUUUGAUCCUGGCUCAGGAUGAACGCUGGCGGCGUGCCUAACACAUGCAAGUCGAACGAAGCAUCUGGCAUUGAUUUCUUCGGAUUGAAGAGCCUUAUGACUGAGUGGCGGACGGGUGAGUAACGCGUGGGUAACCUGCCUCAUACAGGGGGAUAACAGUUAGAAAUGACUGCUAAUACCGCAUAAGCGCACAGCAUCGCAUGGUGCAGUGUGAAAAACUCCGGUGGUAUGAGAUGGACCCGCGUCUGAUUAGCUAGUUGGUGGGGUAAUGGCCUACCAAGGCGACGAUCAGUAGCCGGCCUGAGAGGGUGAACGGCCACAUUGGGACUGAGACACGGCCCAA